ACGCUCGACACCUACGGGAGGCAGCAGUGGGGAAUAUUGCACAAUGGGGGAAACCCUGAUGCAGCGAUGCCGCGUGAAGGAAGAAGUAUCUCGGUAUGUAAACUUCUAUCAGCAGGGAANAAAUGACGGUACCUGACUAAGAAGCCCCGGCUAACUACGUGCCAGUAGCCGCGGUAAUCUGAGCGGGCUGGCAAGGC
This 197-nucleotide ribosomal RNA is filed under the name uncultured bacterium. RNAcentral describes it as "partial 16S ribosomal RNA". It matches the Rfam family "Bacterial small subunit ribosomal RNA", at positions 328 to 539 of the family's 1533-position model. The record is from RNAcentral.